This 76-nucleotide transfer RNA is filed under the name Alphaproteobacteria bacterium. Its description in RNAcentral is "tRNA-Trp". It matches the Rfam family "tRNA". From Rfam's summary of the family: Transfer RNA (tRNA) molecules are approximately 80 nucleotides in length. Lineage: Bacteria; Pseudomonadati; Pseudomonadota; Alphaproteobacteria. The record is from RNAcentral. RNAcentral also lists the same sequence under 1 other name.
AGGAGUGUAGCUCAAUUGGUAGAGCACCGGUCUCCAAAACCGGCGGUUGUGGGUUCGAGUCCCUCCGCUCCUGCCA